GCACAAGCGGUGGAGCAUGUGGCUUAAUUCGACGCAACGCGAAGAACCUUACCAAGGCUUGACAUAUACCGAAAACUCAUAGAGAUAUGGGGUCCGCAAGGGCGGUAUACAGGUGGUGCAUGGUUGUCGUCAGCUCGUGUCGUGAGAUGUUGGGUUAAGUCCCGCAACGAGCGCAACCCUUAUCAACAGUUGCCAUCAUUAAGUUGGGAACUCUGUUGAGACUGCCGUUGAUAAAACGGAGGAAGGUGGGGAUGAUGUCAAGUCAUCAUGGCCUUUAUGCUUAGGGCUACACACGUGCUACAAUGGUCGGUACAAAGCGUCGCAAUCCCGUAAGGGGGAGCUAAUCGCAAAAACCGAUCUCAGUUCGGAUUGAAGUCUGCAACUCGACUUCAUGAAGUUGGAAUCGCUAGUAAUCGCGGAUCAGAACGCCGCGGUGAAUACGUUCCCGGGC
Molecule: ribosomal RNA, 451 nt
Filed under: uncultured bacterium
Lineage: Bacteria
Description: bacterial SSU rRNA
Rfam family: Bacterial small subunit ribosomal RNA
Source: RNAcentral